Molecule: microRNA precursor, 118 nt
Filed under: Cricetulus griseus (Chinese hamster)
Lineage: Eukaryota; Metazoa; Chordata; Mammalia; Rodentia; Cricetidae
Description: miRNA (ENSCGRG00000021542.1)
Source: RNAcentral
UUUGUGUAGCCCUGGCUGUCCUGGAACUCAAUCUGUAUACCAGGCUGGCCUCAAACUCAAAGAUUCAUCUACCCCUGCCUCCCAAGUGCUGGGAUUAAAGGCAUGUGCCAUCACUGCC